UACGCAGGGGGCAAGCGUUAUCCGGAUUUACUGGGUGUAAAGGGAGCGUAGACGGCAGAGCAAGUCUGAAGUGAAAGCCCGCGGCCCAACUGCGGGACUGCUUUGGAAACUGCCCGGCUAGAGUGCUGGAGAGGUAAGCGGAAUUCCUAGUGUAGCGGUGAAAUGCGUAGAUAUUAGGAGGAACACCAGUGGCGAAGGCGGCUUACUGGACAGUAACUGACGUUGAGGCUCGAAAGCGUGGGGAGCAAACAGG
Molecule: ribosomal RNA, 253 nt
Filed under: uncultured bacterium
Lineage: Bacteria
Description: partial 16S ribosomal RNA
Rfam family: Bacterial small subunit ribosomal RNA
Source: RNAcentral